This 889-nucleotide ribosomal RNA is filed under the name Arthrobotrys gephyropaga. RNAcentral's name for it is "LSU rRNA". It matches the Rfam family "Eukaryotic large subunit ribosomal RNA", at positions 52 to 960 of the family's 3401-position model. The record is from RNAcentral. Lineage: Eukaryota; Fungi; Ascomycota; Orbiliomycetes; Orbiliales; Orbiliaceae.
GGAGGAAAAGAAACCAACAGGGAUUGCCUCAGUAACGGCGAGUGAAGCGGCAACAGCUCAAAUUUGAAAUCUGGAGCCUUCGGCUUCCGAGUUGUAAUUUGAAGAGGAUGUUUCGGUCGUGGCUUGGGCCUAAGUUCCUUGGAACAGGACGUCAUGGAGGGUGAGAAUCCCGUACAUGGCUGCAGGCUUGCGAUCAUGUGAAACUCCUUCGAAGAGUCGAGUUGUUUGGGAAUGCAGCUCAAAAUGGGUGGUAAAUUUCAUCUAAAGCUAAAUAUUGGCGGGAGACCGAUAGCGCACAAGUAGAGUGAUCGAAAGAUGAAAAGCACUUUGAAAAGAGAGUUAAACAGCACGUGAAAUUGUUGAAAGGGAAGCGCUUGCAAUCAGACUCGCUUGCGGUUGAUCAACGUUCCUUCUGGUGCGUGCACUCUGCCGUUGGCGGGCCAGCAUCGGUUGGGGCGGCGGGACAAAGGCGGCAGGAAUGUGGCUCCCCUCGGGGAGUGUUAUAGCCUGCUGUGUAAUGCCGCCAGCCCCGACCGAGGUCCGCGGUUUUCCUAGGAUGCUGGCUUAAUGGUUGUAAGCGACCCGUCUUGAAACACGGACCAAGGAGUCUAACAUCUAUGCGAGUCUUUGGGUGUCAAACCCAUGGGCGUAAUGAAAGUGAACGGAGGUGGGAGUCCUCGGAUGCACCAUCGACCGAUCCUGAUGUUCUCGGAUGGAUUUGAGUAGGAGCAUAGCUGUUGGGACCCGAAAGAUGGUGAACUAUGCCUGAAUAGGGUGAAGCCAGAGGAAACUCUGGUGGAGGCUCGCAGCGGUUCUGACGUGCAAAUCGAUCGUCAAAUUUGGGUAUAGGGGCGAAAGACUAAUCGAACCAUCUAGUAGCUGGUUCCUA